This 244-nucleotide ribosomal RNA is filed under the name uncultured bacterium. RNAcentral describes it as "partial 16S ribosomal RNA". It matches the Rfam family "Bacterial small subunit ribosomal RNA", at positions 528 to 771 of the family's 1533-position model. The record is from RNAcentral.
UAGGGGGCAAGCGUUAUCCGGAUUUACUGGGUGUAAAGGGAGCGUAGACGGCAAUACAAGUCGGAAGUGAAAUACCCGGGCUCAACCCGGGAACUGCUUUGGAAACUGUAUGGCUGGAGUGCUGGAGAGGUAAGCGGAAUUCCUAGUGUAGCGGUGAAAUGCGUAGAUAUUAGGAGGAACACCAGUGGCGAAGGCGGCUUACUGGACAGUAACUGACGUUGAGGCUCGAAAGCGUGGGGAGCAA